GGGUUAGAAAUCGCAACUUUUCCUGCAAGGUCUGAUCUUAUCGUUGAUGAGAGGAAUGAUAAGAAACCAAUAAUGAAAUGAAGGAAAAAAAAGAUAAAGGAAUAUGAAAGGGAACAAAAAAGAUAAACGGAAUGAUGGAUGCUAAUAAGCUUAAGAAUAGUCACUACUUUGUAAGACGAAACAAUGUGAAUGAUAUGUAAGAUGGUAGUGUGAAAAAACCGAAAAAAAAAAAAAAAGC
Non-coding RNA from Schizosaccharomyces pombe (fission yeast), 238 nucleotides. Lineage: Eukaryota; Fungi; Ascomycota; Schizosaccharomycetes; Schizosaccharomycetales; Schizosaccharomycetaceae. The record is from the annotation of a GenBank genome assembly.